Molecule: ribosomal RNA, 599 nt
Filed under: Colletotrichum gloeosporioides
Lineage: Eukaryota; Fungi; Ascomycota; Sordariomycetes; Glomerellales; Glomerellaceae
Description: eukaryotic LSU rRNA
Rfam family: 5.8S ribosomal RNA (bases 227-380)
Source: RNAcentral
GGAAGUAAAAGUCGUAACAAGGUCUCCGUUGGUGAACCAGCGGAGGGAUCAUUACUGAGUUUACGCUCUACAACCCUUUGUGAACAUACCUAUAACUGUUGCUUCGGCGGGUAGGGUCUCCGUGACCCUCCCGGCCUCCCGCCCCCGGGCGGGUCGGCGCCCGCCGGAGGAUAACCAAACUCUGAUUUAACGACGUUUCUUCUGAGUGGUACAAGCAAAUAAUCAAAACUUUUAACAACGGAUCUCUUGGUUCUGGCAUCGAUGAAGAACGCAGCGAAAUGCGAUAAGUAAUGUGAAUUGCAGAAUUCAGUGAAUCAUCGAAUCUUUGAACGCACAUUGCGCCCGCCAGCAUUCUGGCGGGCAUGCCUGUUCGAGCGUCAUUUCAACCCUCAAGCUCUGCUUGGUGUUGGGGCCCUACAGCUGAUGUAGGCCCUCAAAGGUAGUGGCGGACCCUCCCGGAGCCUCCUUUGCGUAGUAACUUUACGUCUCGCACUGGGAUCCGGAGGGACUCUUGCCGUAAAACCCCCCAAUUUUCCAAAGGUUGACCUCGGAUCAGGUAGGAAUACCCGCUGAACUUAAGCAUAUCAAUAAGCGGAGGA